Molecule: non-coding RNA, 72 nt
Organism: Ciona intestinalis (vase tunicate)
Lineage: Eukaryota; Metazoa; Chordata; Ascidiacea; Phlebobranchia; Cionidae
Source: Rfam
GGCGCCGUGGCGUAGUGGUUAGCGCGCCUGCCUGUAACCCAGAGUUAAUGGGUUCAAGGCUCGUCGCUGCUA